AGGGCAGCCAAGUCGUGAGGCGGAGCUAAUCCCUUAAAGCCAUUCUCAGUUCGGAUUGUAGGCUGAAACUCGCCUACAUGAAGCUGGAGUUACUAGUAAUCGCAGAUCAGAAUGCUGCGGUGAAUGCGUUCCCGGGUCUUGUACACACCGCCCGUCACACCAUGGGAGUCGGUAACACCCGAAGCCUGUAGUCUAACCGCAAGGGGGACGCAGUCGAAGGUGGGAUUGAUGACUGGGGUGAAGUCGUAACAAGGUAAC
Molecule: ribosomal RNA, 258 nt
Filed under: uncultured bacterium
Lineage: Bacteria
Description: partial 16S ribosomal RNA
Rfam family: Bacterial small subunit ribosomal RNA
Source: RNAcentral